AUCUUGCGCAAUGGGCGAAAGCCUGACGCAGCAACGCCGCGUGCGGGAAGAAGGCCCUCGGGUUGUAAACCGCUUUCAGAAGGAACGAAACUGACGGUACUUUCAGAAGAAGGUGCGGCCAACUACGUGCCAGCAGCCGCGGUGACACGUAGGCACCAAGCGUUGUCCGGAUUUAUUGGGCGUAAAGAGCUCGUAGGCGGUUCGAUAAGUCGGGUGUGAAAUCUUUGGGCUUAACCCAAAGCGUGCACUCGAUACUGUUGUGACUAGAGUUCGGUAGGGGAGUGGGGAAUUCCUAGUGUAGCGGUGAAAUGCGCAGAUAUUAGGAGGAACACCGGUGGCGAAGGCGCCACUCUGGGCCGAAACUGACGCUGAGGAGCGAAAGCGUGGGUAGCAAACAGG
RNAcentral lists this ribosomal RNA (399 nucleotides) under uncultured bacterium. RNAcentral's name for it is "bacterial SSU rRNA". It matches the Rfam family "Bacterial small subunit ribosomal RNA", at positions 361 to 776 of the family's 1533-position model. The record is from RNAcentral.